CAAUAGCGUAUAUUAAAGUUGUUGCGGUUAAAAGCUCGUAGUUGGAUUUCUGCCGAGGACGACCGGUCCGCCCUCUGGGUGAGUAUCUGGCUUGGCCUGGGCAUCUUCUUGGAGAACGUAGCUGCACUUGACUGUGUGGUGCGGUAUCCAGGACUUUUACUUUGAGGAAAUUAGAGUGUUCACGGCAGGCUAUCGCCAGAAUACAUUAGCAUGGAAUAAUACUAUAGGAUCUCGGUUCUAUUUUGUUGGUUUCUAGAAUUGAGAUAAUGAUUAAUAGGGACAAUUGGGGGCAUUCGUAUCAACACGUUAGAGGUGAAAUUCUUGGAUCGUGUUGCGACGAACUACUGCGAAAGCAUUUGCCAAGGAUGUUUUCAUUGAUCAAGAACGAAAGUAAGGGGAUCGAAGACGAUCAGAUACCGU
RNAcentral lists this ribosomal RNA (420 nucleotides) under uncultured eukaryote. Its description in RNAcentral is "bacterial SSU rRNA". It matches the Rfam family "Eukaryotic small subunit ribosomal RNA", at positions 592 to 1018 of the family's 1831-position model. The record is from RNAcentral.